Molecule: ribosomal RNA, 460 nt
Filed under: uncultured bacterium
Lineage: Bacteria
Description: partial 16S ribosomal RNA
Rfam family: Bacterial small subunit ribosomal RNA
Source: RNAcentral
CCUACGGGUGACAGCAGUGAGGAAUAUUGGUCAAUGGACGAGAGUCUGAACCAGCCAAGUAGCGUGAAGGAUGACUGCCCUAUGGGUUGUAAACUUCUUUUAUAUGGGAAUAAAAUGUUCCACGUGUGGGAUUUUGUAUGUACCAUAUGAAUAAGGAUCGGCUAACUCCGUGCCAGCAGCCGCGGUAAUACGGAGGAUCCGAGCGUUAUCCGGAUUUAUUGGGUUUAAAGGGAGCGUAGGUGGAUUUUUAAGUCAGUUGUGAAAGUUUGCGGCUCAACCGUAAAAUUGCAGUUGAAACUGGCAGUCUUGAGUACAGUAGAGGUGGGCGGAAUUCGUGGUGUAGCGGUGAAAUGCUUAGAUAUCACGAAGAACUCCGAUUGCGAAGGCAGUUCACUGGACUGCAACUGACACUGAGGCUCGAAAGUGUGGGUAUCAAACAGGAUUAGAUACCCCUGUAGUC